UCUAGGUACCUGCGGGAAGAUCAUUAUGGAAUUGUGAAAGAGGUUGUAGCUGAUCAAAAACAAGAUAUGUGCACACCUCAUUUCCAAAUUUUACACCAUGUGCACUCUUUGUAGGCCGACUUUUGUUUGGUCUAUGUCUUUUUAAAUAAACCCAAAAGUUUCAGAAUGUUAAAUCAUAAGCUUGUUUUGCAAGCUGAAAAAAUUAAUACAACUUUCAACAACGGAUCUCUUGGCUCUCGCAUCGAUGAAGAACGCAGCGAAAUGCGAUAAGUAAUGUGAAUUGCAGAAUUCAGUGAAUCAUCGAAUCUUUGAACGCACCUUGCGCUCCUUGGUAUUCCGAGGAGCAUGCCUGUUUGAGUGUCAUUAAAUUCUCAAUCCUCUUCAAACUUGCUUUGUAGAGGCUUUGGACUUGGAGUGUUGCUGGCCUUGUGUCGGCUCCUCUUAAAUGUAUUAGCUUGGAUCAUUUUGCAGAUAAGCUUUAGUUUGAUAAAUAUCUAUGCUAAUUGCUUUUGAAACAAAUUGCCAGCUUCCAAUUGUUGUUGUUUAUAACAACUCUCUUUGAUAUUUUGACCUCAAAUCAGGUAGGACUACCCGCUGAACUUAAGCAUAUCAAUAAGCGGAGGAAAAGAAACUAACAAGGAUUCCCCUAGUAACUGCGAGUGAAGCGGGAAAAGCUCAAAUUUAAAAUCUGGCAGUCUUUGAUUGUCCGAGUUGUAAUCUAGAGAAGUGCUUUCCGCGUUGGACCGUGUACAAGUCUCUUGGAACAGAGCUUCAUAGAGGGUGAGAAUCCC
RNAcentral lists this ribosomal RNA (791 nucleotides) under Hygrophorus eburneus. Its description in RNAcentral is "partial ribosomal RNA". The stretch from base 568 to 791 matches the Rfam family "Eukaryotic large subunit ribosomal RNA", at positions 1 to 222 of the family's 3401-position model. The record is from RNAcentral. Lineage: Eukaryota; Fungi; Basidiomycota; Agaricomycetes; Agaricales; Hygrophoraceae.